UGCUAUACAUGCAGUCGAACGCACAGCGAAAGGUGCUUGCACCUUUCAAGUGAGUGGCGAACGGGUGAGUAACACGUGGACAACCUGCCUCAAGGCUGGGGAUAACAUUUGGAAACAGAUGCUAAUACCGAAUAAAACUUAGUGUCGCAUGACACAAAGUUAAAAGGCGCUUCGGCGUCACCUAGAGAUGGAUCCGCGGUGCAUUAGUUAGUUGGUGGGGUAAAGGCCUACCAAGACAAUGAUGCAUAGCCGAGUUGAGAGACUGAUCGGCCACAUUGGGACUGAGACACGGCCCAAACUCCUACGGGAGGCUGCAGUAGGGAAUCUUCCACAAUGGGCGAAAGCCUGAUGGAGCAACGCCGCGUGUGUGAUGAAGGCUUUCGGGUCGUAAAGCACUGUUGUAUGGGAAGAACAGCUAGAAUAGGAAAUGAUUUUAGUUUGACGGUACCAUACCAGAAAGGGACGGCUAAAUACGUGCCAGCAGCCGCGGUAAUACGUAUGUCCCGAGCGUUAUCCGGAUUUAUUGGGCGUAAAGCGAGCGCAGACGGUUUAUUAAGUCUGAUGUGAAAGCCCGGAGCUCAACUCCGGAAUGGCAUUGGAAACUGGUUAACUUGAGUGCAGUAGAGGUAAGUGGAACUCCAUGUGUAGCGGUGGAAUGCGUAGAUAUAUGGAAGAACACCAGUGGCGAAGGCGGCUUACUGGACUGCAACUGACGUUGAGGCUCGAAAGUGUGGGUAGCAAACAGGAUUAGAUACCCUGGUAGUCCACACCGUAAACGAUGAACACUAGGUGUUAGGAGGUUUCCGCCUCUUAGUGCCGAAGCUAACGCAUUAAGUGUUCCGCCUGGGGAGUACGACCGCAAGGUUGAAACUCAAAGGAAUUGACGGGGACCCGCACAAGCGGUGGAGCAUGUGGUUUAAUUCGAAGCAACGCGAAGAACCUUACCAGG
RNAcentral lists this ribosomal RNA (949 nucleotides) under Leuconostoc mesenteroides. RNAcentral's name for it is "bacterial SSU rRNA". It matches the Rfam family "Bacterial small subunit ribosomal RNA", at positions 45 to 978 of the family's 1533-position model. The record is from RNAcentral. Lineage: Bacteria; Bacillati; Bacillota; Bacilli; Lactobacillales; Lactobacillaceae.